CUUGAAGGAUGAAUCACUGGUCAGAAUUCUCAGCUGUGGACAAUCCCGUUCAGUGAGAUUCAAGCUGAAGAGGUCUUGUUGAAUUAUAUUAGGUAGCUUCCAGAUGUUCUUAGAUGAUCAGAAAUUCACACCGGGACACUACCAUUAUGUAGUUACGUGUUAUGUUUUGGAUCAAAAAUGCCCCCCCGCCAAAUAUCCUGUGUUCAGAGUUGGGGCUUUUGGGAGGUGAUGAAUCAUGGGGGCACUAAACUCAUCUGUGGGUUUAUCAGUCCGCUGAGUUUAUAGCUGAAUGUGCUGUCGGAGGUGGGGCCUGGUUGGAGGAGGUGGGUCACUGGGAGUGUAACCUGGAAGGGUAUCUUCUCCUCCCCGGCCCCUUUCUCUCUUUCUGGUUCUCUCUCUCUCCUUCCUGACAGCUGUAAAGCGGGAAGCUUUCUUUCUUCUACCGUGAUGUUUCUGCCUUGGAGCCAGCCUACUGAAACCUCUGAAGCCAUGAGCCCAAAUAAACCUGCCCUCCUUUAAGUUGCAAGUGUCAGAUAUUUUGUUCAUAGCAACAAAAACCUGGCAAAUUCACCCUGAAAACAUCAAGAGAGAGAUGCUCUGGGGAAAAGAUGCUGCUGAUACUCUUGGCCCUUAGUGGCCUCAAUCCUGCAGCCUGGUCCCCACCACAACUUCACCAAAGCAAAUGGGUAUCCCAGGAGCUGACCCCAGGAGCUUGGGGGCUGAGGAACUCUAAGAGAUGCUUUGACCUCCCAGGAGUCAGAACAGGCUGAAAGAGGCAUCUACCUAUCUUAUCUAUUGACGUCAAGUGUUCUUGAAGGCACAUUUGUUGGUGGCACAAGAAAUUCAGCAGAAAUGAGCCUUGGUAAAGAAUAAUGUCCCUAAGAACUUGCUCCUCCAAUAACCAUGGCAGAAAGCACCUGGGAAGUUUCUUACAAUGCAGUCCUCAGCUCCUGCCUGCCUAGAAGUCCUGCUCCAGUGCUGCCUAGAGUCCAUGUUUUAACAGAAACAGUGUUAGUUUCCUGGGCACUUUGGGUGGGAAUGAGCUCUGAGCUGGAGAAUGUUCAGGCUCUCUGCAUACAGAUCUACCUAGGGAAUUUUUCAUAGCCCUGGGUCCAGACCACACCCCAGAUGCACGGAUCCAGAAUGCCUGGAGGAGCAGGGAGGCUGGCUGCAGUAUAGUUCCCCAGGAUACCAGGGCCUAGGAACUCUUCUAGGCUUACCUGCCAGGUUUGGCUCCCCCGACCCUACAUCUCCAUCUCCCUGCAUACCUGCUAAUCAUGAUCUUUACCUGGUUUCCGUCUCUGCUGUGCAUCGAGAAGCUUUCACCUGCCUUCUACACUCUGUGUCCUCACCCUCUGCUCUGCAGCUUCCCCUUGCUCUCCUGCUCGUCCUCUGUGGCUUUCAGCAGGGCUGUAUCUCAGUAUCCUGGCCAGUGGCUGGGCUAUCAUCUCCUCCUGUCUGGAUCCUACCCUCCUCAGUGUGCUGUGGACUGCCUUUCAACACAUGCUGGCAGCAGGCAUCUCCAGAGUUGACACUUUACCAUCCCUGUCACUUCUUCCAUCCUUCCUCUGACUUCCUGGGGUCAGGCUUUGGGCCCUGUUAUACUACCAAACUCUUCUGACCCAUCAGUGGGUUGACCGCCGGUGGAAACACUCCUUGUUUUGGGCACUGCACCUCUCUGGUCCCCCUGCCUGGCUGCUGCACCUCCCAGACCCUCUGUUUAAAUUUCAAGGUACUUCAAUAUGACAGCCAAAGACAAUACUCAGGAGCAACAAGCAACAGGAGAGGGAAUUACAUCAAGAAGCUAGGAAGGUUCUGAUGCCGAGCACUUCCCAAGGAUGAGCCUCAAAGCAACGAUGUUUGCAAUGCCUGGCAGGUUCAUUAAAUAAAAGAUUGAUAUUCACCUUAAUCUUUGAAUUUGCUUAUGGGGUUCUCUGCUUGCUUCAGUGCACACAUUCUAAGAAACUCUGACAUAUUUUUCAUUAGAAGAAUUUCUAGUAGCCUUCUCUUCUGAAUCCAACUGUAGAAGGUUGACUACAAAGGGGAUUCAUCAAGGGAAGAACUUGACAAUGAG
Long non-coding RNA from Heterocephalus glaber (naked mole-rat), 2074 nucleotides. NCBI's taxonomy places the organism in Eukaryota, Metazoa, Chordata, Mammalia, Rodentia, Bathyergidae. The record is from Ensembl.